GGUGAUAUGCUCAGUGAUAGAGCACUUGUCUGGCAUGUGCAAAGCCCUAGGUUCAAUUCCCAGUACCCCCA
RNAcentral lists this transfer RNA (71 nucleotides) under Mesocricetus auratus (golden hamster). It matches the Rfam family "tRNA". From Rfam's summary of the family: Transfer RNA (tRNA) molecules are approximately 80 nucleotides in length. Lineage: Eukaryota; Metazoa; Chordata; Mammalia; Rodentia; Cricetidae. The record is from Rfam by way of RNAcentral.